AUACGGAGGAUCCGAGUGUUAUCCGGAUUUAUUGGGUUUAAAGGGUGCGCAGGCGGCCAUUUAAGUCAGCGGUUAAAUCGUGGGGCUCAACCCCAUUCUGCCGUUGAUACUGGGUGGCUUGAUUGCGGUCGAGGUUGGCGGAAUUCGUUGUGUAGCGGUGAAAUGCAUAGAUAUGACGAAGAACACCGAUUGCGUAGGCAGCUGACCAGACCGCAAAUGACGCUCAUGCACGAAAGUGCGGGGAUCGAACAGGAUUAGAUACCCUGGUAGUCCGCACAGUAAACGAUGAAUACUUGUUUUCGGCGAUAUAAUGUCGGAGGCAAAGCGAAAGCGAUAAGUAUUCCACCUGGGGAGUACGCCGGCAACGGUGAAACUCAAAUGAAUUGACGGGG
This 392-nucleotide ribosomal RNA is filed under the name uncultured bacterium. RNAcentral describes it as "partial 16S ribosomal RNA". It matches the Rfam family "Bacterial small subunit ribosomal RNA", at positions 523 to 918 of the family's 1533-position model. The record is from RNAcentral.